AUAUAUCGUGAUACUGAUUUGAGGCCAUAUCGCCCAGCCCUUUUAAAACAGCUCUGCGAACUCAAAGUAUGAGGUUUUGAAGGACCAUGUAGCAGCAUAACAGUCCGUUUUCCCCUGGCCUUACACCAUGGAGGUAAGGAUAACAUCUUAUCCCAUUCAACCAUAAAAGGGGGCAGUGAUUUUAUGCCACAACAAAUACAAACACCAAAGCACACAACUCUCUAACAUGCCUUCAUUGGGAUGCAUUGAAACAGACAGCGGACUAUGACUACUUUAACGUCUCCUCUUUCCUCCUCUCCUGCUCAGCCUGCUGUGUCCCUGCUGAGGGAAAUCGACUGAUUGUAUCUCAAGGUCUUAUCAAAUCUGAUGUUCCUCGCACCACUGGAGCCGCACCGUGAUGAAUGGACGGAGAUUUCCUCUACAAGGUCAUCCUAACACCUAUAACAUCCGUCAGUGUGUGGGUGUGGGUGUGUGUGUGUGUUACCCCAUAGUAACAGUGAUGGCUUUUGUUUGUUGGCCAAAUGAAACAUCAGCAUUAUGGGAGAUAAGGAGAAAGAGACGGAGAUGGAUGUGUGAGGCGGCUUCAUUACCCAGGUGAGCAGAUCUGAAGAAACGCACUGCAGAAAAAUAAAACGCCAUCCGGUACUCCAAUACGACCUACAGGAGUGUCCCUGAAACAACAAAGUCUAACAGCAGAAGGAAAAAGCUCCUACAACAGAUAAACACCAAUUUAGGUAAAACUAAGACAGAAUUCAGUCUAGGGCUGGGCGAUAUGGC
Xyrichtys novacula (pearly razorfish) is the source of this 777-nucleotide non-coding RNA. Lineage: Eukaryota; Metazoa; Chordata; Actinopteri; Labriformes; Labridae. The record is from the annotation of a GenBank genome assembly.